GAGGACGCUGAGAGCUGUCAGACUCUCUCGCCUCACUGGCUGUUCCCUCCACGGACCAGGUGAACCGUAUGUAACCAUCAAAGCGUACGCUGCUGUUGAAGAGGAUGAGGUGUCCCUGUCUGAGGGUGAAGCCAUCGAGGUCAUUCAUAAGCUCCUAGAUGGCUGGUGGGUGGUCAGGAAAGGGGACAUCACCGGCUACUUCCCAUCCAUGUAUCUGCAGAAGGCUGGGGAGGAGAUAACCCAGGCCCAGCGACAGAUUAGAAGCCGCGGGGCACCACCUCGCAGGUCGACCAUCCGCAAUGCACAGAGCAUCCACCAGCGUUCUCGGAAGCGCCUCAGCCAGGACACCUAUCGCCGCAACAGCGUCCGAUUCCUGCAGCAGCGCAGACGCCCGGCGCGACCUGGGCCGCAGAGCCCUGACUCAAAGGACAAUCCAUCGACUCCGCGCGCCAAACCACAGCCUGCGGUGCCUCCGAGACCCAGCUCGGACCUCAUCCUGCACCGCUGCACAGAGAGCACCAAGAGGAAACUGACGUCCGCCGUGUGAGGGGCGGCUGCACUGAAAGGCGGUCCUAUCCCUACCCUUGUAUAUAUUUGUAUAUAGCCUCAGGUCAGAGGCUCCUACCCUGCUUUAAUGUUUGGAAUGGACUCAGACUCUGCAGCAAAGGACAGGACUGGGUUUCUCUCCACGGGUAUUGCUAGGAUGAGAGGAGGCAGUCAGCGUUGCUGGGGGGUUUGCAGGAACAAAAAAGGUCUGAUUACCCGCUGCCUUAGUCUUGACCAAGGUCAAGUUUGCAGAAGGCCAAGUGUCUUAGGAACGCCCUAAGGAAACUGUUUCUCAACCUGUUGGCCAUGACCCCUUUGGGGAGGGUGUCGAAAGACUCUUUCUCAGAAGUUGCCUUAGAUCAUUGGAAAACACAGAUAUUAUUUUUUUUUUUUUCGGAGCUGGGGACCGAACCCAGGGCCUUGCGCUCGCUAGGCAAGCACUCUACCGCUGAGCU
Molecule: long non-coding RNA, 1001 nt
Filed under: Rattus norvegicus (Norway rat)
Lineage: Eukaryota; Metazoa; Chordata; Mammalia; Rodentia; Muridae
Description: long non-coding RNA NONRATT033962
Source: RNAcentral